GACGAACGCUGGCGGCGUGCUUAACACAUGCAAGUCGAACGGAAAGGCCCUGCUUGCAGGGUACUCGAGUGGCGAACGGGUGAGUAACACGUGGGUGAUCUGCCCUGCACUUCGGGAUAAGCCUGGGAAACUGGGUCUAAUACCGGAUAGGAGCCAUUUUUAGUGUGAUGGUUGGAAAGUUUUUUCGGUGUAGGAUGAGCUCGCGGCCUAUCAGCUUGUUGGUGGGGUAAUGGCCUACCAAGGCGGCGACGGGUAGCCGGCCUGAGAGGGUGGACGGCCACAUGGGGACUGAGAUACGGCCCAGACUCCUACGGGAGGCAGCAGUGGGGAAUAUGGCACAAUGGGCGCAAGCCUGAUGCAGCGACGCCGCGUGGGGGAUGACGGCCUUCGGGUGGGAAACUCCUUUCGCUAGGGACGAAGCUUUUUGUGACGGGACCUAGAUAAGAAGCACCGGCUAACGACG
RNAcentral lists this ribosomal RNA (463 nucleotides) under uncultured bacterium. RNAcentral's name for it is "partial 16S ribosomal RNA". It matches the Rfam family "Bacterial small subunit ribosomal RNA", at positions 28 to 505 of the family's 1533-position model. The record is from RNAcentral.